UCAUCAGGUGGGAUAAUCCUUACCUGUUCCUCGUUUUGGAGGGCAGAUAGAACACGAUAAUUGGAGUUUGCAUGAUCCAUGAUUAAUGUCUCUGUGUAAUCAGGACUUGCAAACUCUGAUUGUUCGUAUCUGAU
Small nucleolar RNA from Gorilla gorilla gorilla (western lowland gorilla), 134 nucleotides. Its record names the gene U8. It matches the Rfam family "U8 small nucleolar RNA". Rfam says of the family: U8 is a member of the C/D class of snoRNA which contain the C (UGAUGA) and D (CUGA) box motifs. U8 is the RNA component of a small complex (the U8 snoRNP) which is required for accumulation of mature large subunit ribosomal RNAs, 5.8S and 28S rRNAs. NCBI's taxonomy places the organism in Eukaryota, Metazoa, Chordata, Mammalia, Primates, Hominidae. The record is from Ensembl.